Leopardus geoffroyi (Geoffroy's cat) is the source of this 653-nucleotide long non-coding RNA. RefSeq lists it as uncharacterized. The transcript has 3 exons. Lineage: Eukaryota; Metazoa; Chordata; Mammalia; Carnivora; Felidae. The record is from RefSeq and is a predicted model, not a curated record.
CACCUGUCUUGAGCGAGCUCCUCAAUCUGAGUCUCAGUUCUCCCGUCUGAGACAGGAAGGUUAUGCUGCCUAUGAGCUCCUGUUCUUCUGACGGUUAAGUGAGGACAUUGGGGCUGAGAGACAUGCAGAGAACCCCACGCAAGUUCACGAAACUUCUAAUAAACUGUCCCGUCCGAAACUGAAUCCAUGUCUUCCAGUUCUGAUUCUGUGAUUCCCGGCAUAACAUCACGGCUAGAGGAAACACACUUCAGGAAGGACCAGACCAGAGACUCUUCUCCCGCCCUUCUGAUUCCUUACAGCAAAAGCAUCAGAAUCACAACGGAACGCUUUGAAAAUACAGGUGCUUGGCCCCCGCCUGCCAUUUUUGAUCCAGAGGGCCUGGAUCCCUGUAUUUUGAAGGAACCCUCCUAGCCUGCCCUGACGAUUCUCAUACACACUUCCUGUGAAGGACUUCUUGACAAACUUGGCUGUAUCUGGCUGAGCUACUACGUAUUUCUUAGUGAGGAGGCAUUCGAAAUCAACAUUUAAUAUUACCAAAAGAUGGAAUACAGAAGAUCAUCAAUGGAGUGCUUUCAAGUGAAUCACAAUCACACGCAUGUGCAAAACCAUCGGUGAAGUCUAUAUGUGCAAUUAAAUGCCUAAUUAUGCUUAAA